Molecule: unclassified non-coding RNA, 250 nt
Filed under: Chaetothyriales sp.
Lineage: Eukaryota; Fungi; Ascomycota; Eurotiomycetes; Chaetothyriales
Description: partial contains small subunit ribosomal RNA, internal transcribed spacer 1, and 5.8S ribosomal RNA
Rfam family: Eukaryotic small subunit ribosomal RNA (bases 1-46)
Source: RNAcentral
AAGUCGUAACAAGGUUUCCGUAGGUGAACCUGCGGAAGGAUCAUUACCGAGUAAGGGUCUUCGGGCCCGACCUCCAACCCUUUGUUUAUCAAACCAUGUUGCUUUGGCGGGCCCGCCUCUUCGGGGCCGCUGGGGGCCUCACCGCCUCUGGCCAGCGCCCGCCAGUGGCCUUUUUUAAAAUUCUCCUAACCUAUUGUCUGAGUCUAAACAAAAAUCGUUAAAACUUUCAACAACGGAUCUCUUGGUUCUG